This 497-nucleotide ribosomal RNA is filed under the name uncultured bacterium. RNAcentral describes it as "partial 16S ribosomal RNA". It matches the Rfam family "Bacterial small subunit ribosomal RNA", at positions 28 to 507 of the family's 1533-position model. The record is from RNAcentral.
GAUGAACGCUGGCGGCGUGCCUAAUACAUGCAAGUCGAGCGAACAGACGAGGAGCUUGCUCCUCUGACGUUAGCGGCGGACGGGUGAGUAACACGUGGAUAACCUACCUAUAAGACUGGGAUAACUUCGGGAAACCGGAGCUAAUACCGGAUAACAUGUUGAACCGCGUGGUUCAACAGUGAAAGACGGUUUUGCUGUCACUUAUAGAUGGAUCCGCGUCGCAUUAGCUAGUUGGUAAGGUAACGGCUUACCAAGGCAACGAUGCGUAGCCGAUCUGAGAGGGUGAUAGGCCGCACUGGAACUGAGACACGGUCCAGACUCCUACGGGAGGCAGCAGUAGGGAAUCUUCCGCAAUGGGCGAAAGCCUGACGGAGCAACGCCGCGUGAGUGAAGAAGGUCUUCGGAUCGUAAAACUCUGUUAUUAGGGAAGAACAAAUGUGUAAGUAACUAUGCACGUCUUGACGGUACCUAAUCAGAAAGCCACGGCUAACUACGUG